GUUAUUUGAGGUGGAAAAUUUCGUGCCAUCCACACGCCGCUGGUACCGACAGGGGAAACCCGAGAGAUGCAGGAGAACGCCACGCCUGCCAAAUAAC
This 97-nucleotide non-coding RNA is filed under the name unclassified sequences. The record is from Rfam.